Molecule: ribosomal RNA, 403 nt
Filed under: uncultured Lactobacillus sp.
Lineage: Bacteria; Bacillati; Bacillota; Bacilli; Lactobacillales; Lactobacillaceae
Description: bacterial SSU rRNA
Rfam family: Bacterial small subunit ribosomal RNA
Source: RNAcentral
CUGGGAUACCAUUUGGAAACAGAUGCUAAUACCGGAUAAAAGCUACUUUCGCAUGAAAGAAGUUUAAAAGGCGGCGUAAGCUGUCGCUAAAGGGAUGGACCUGCGAUGCAUUAGCUAGUUGGUAAGGUAACGGCUUACCAAGGCGAUGAUGCAUAGCCCGAGUUGAGAGACUGAUCGGCCACAUUGGGACUGAGACACGGCCCAAACUCCUACGGGAGGCAGCAGUAGGGAAUCUUCCACAAUGGACGCAAGUCUGAUGGAGCAACGCCGCGUGAGUGAAGAAGGGUUUCGGCUCGUAAAGCUCUGUUGUUGGUGAAGAAGGACAGGGGGUAGUAACUGACCUUUGUUUGACGGUAAUCAAUUAGAAAGUCACGGCUAACUACGUGCCAGCAGCCGCGGUAAU